This 465-nucleotide ribosomal RNA is filed under the name Vreelandella stevensii. RNAcentral's name for it is "partial 16S ribosomal RNA". It matches the Rfam family "Bacterial small subunit ribosomal RNA", at positions 338 to 795 of the family's 1533-position model. The record is from RNAcentral. Lineage: Bacteria; Pseudomonadati; Pseudomonadota; Gammaproteobacteria; Oceanospirillales; Halomonadaceae.
CCUACGGGUGGCAGCAGUGGGGAAUAUUGGACAAUGGGCGAAAGCCUGAUCCAGCCAUGCCGCGUGUGUGAAGAAGGCCUUCGGGUUGUAAAGCACUUUCAGUGGGGAAGAAAUCCUUGGGGCUAAUACCCUCGAGGAAGGACAUCACCCACAGAAUAAGCACCGGCUAACUCCGUGCCAGCAGCCGCGGUAAUACGGAGGGUGCGAGCGUUAAUCGGAAUUACUGGGCGUAAAGCGCGCGUAGGCGGUCUGAUAAGCCGGUUGUGAAAGCCCCGGGCUCAACCUGGGAACGGCAUCCGGAACUGUGAGGCUAGAGUGCAGGAGAGGAAGGUAGAAUUCCCGGUGUAGCGGUGAAAUGCGUAGAGAUCUGGAGGAAUACCAGUGGCGAAGGCGGCCUUCUGGAAUGACACUGACGCUGAGGUGCGAAAGCGUGGGUAGCAAACAGGAUUAGAUACCCCAGUAGUC